CCCUGAGUUGACGACGUUGCCGCCGGAGAGGGAGUUUGAGUUUGUGAUUGAUGUAGUUCCUGGAACUGCACCAAUCUCAAAGGUACCUUAUCGGAUAGCGCCGGCUGAGCUGAGAGAGCUAAAGGCACAACUUCAGGAUUUGAUGGAUAAAGGGUUUGUGAGACCCAGUGUGUCGCCUUGGGGAGCGCCAGUGCUAUUUGUAAAGAAGAAGGAUGGUUCACUCAGGUUAUGUGUGGAUUACCGGGAGCUGAAUAAAGUGACCAUCAAGAAUAAGUAUCCACUGCCGCGCAUUGAUGAUUUAUUUGAUCAGUUGCAGGGAUCCUUCGUCUUCUCGAAGAUUGAUCUCUAGUCAGGUUACCACCAGCUGAGGGUGAGGGCCGAGGAUGUUCCCAAGACGGCUUUUCGGACUUGGUACGGGCAUUAUGAGUUUACAGUAAUGCCUUUUGGAUUGACAAAUACCCCUGCCGCAUUCAUGGAUUUGAGGAACAGAGUGUUCAAGCCGUUCUUGGAUAGAUUUGUGGUAGUCUUCAUCGACGACAUCCUGAUAUACUCCCGGAGUGAUGCUGAGCAUGAGGAGCACUUGAGGAUUGUGCUACAGCUUCUGCGAAAGAAGAAGCUGUAUGCCAAGUUGAAGAAGUGCGAGUUCUGGCUUCGGGAGGUUGCUUUCUUGGGCCACGUGAUUUCAGCCGAGGGCGUAGCAGUGGACCCGAAGAAGAUUGAGGCGAUUCGAGAUUGGCCUAGACCGACGACGGUGACUGAGGUACGGAGCUUCCUGGGACUGGCAGGAUAUUACCGUCGGUUUGUGGAAGGCUUUGCGAAACUUUCCACACCCCUCACACGCUUGACGCGAAAGGGGAUUCGUUUUGUUUGGAGCGAUGACUGUCAGAGGAGCUUUGACGAGUUGAGACUGAGGUUGACAUCAGCUCCUAUCCUUGCCCUUCCGGUGAUGGGGGAUGGAUUUGUGAUCUACAGUGAUGCAUCGCACAGUGGACUUGGUUGCGUGCUGAUGCAGCAUGGUAGGGUGAUUGUUUAUGCUUCACGGCAAUUAAAGGAUUUUGAGAAGAAUUACCCUACGCAUGACUUGGAGCUUGCCGCGGUGGUUUUUGCUUUGAAGCUCUGGCGGCAUUACCUGUACGGCGAGCACUGCGAGGUUUUCACCGAUCAUCAAAGUCUCAAGUAUCUGUUCACACAGAAGGAGCUGAAUCUGAGGCAGCGCCGGUGGUUGGAGUUACUGAAGGACUAUGACAUUAGUAUUCAGUAUCAUCCCGGCAGGGCGAAUGUGGUGGCAGAUGCGUUGAGCAGGAAGUCAGUGCAGAGCCUGAGUUUGAGGAUUACUGAGGAGAGACCCCUACUCGAGGAGUUACAGCGGCUGGGACUCGAGAUAGUACCCCCUGGGUUUACGGCGAGGCUGACGUCUCUAGUAUUACAGCCCACUCUGUUGGAUAGAAUCCGAGAGAAACAAAGUGGAGAUCCGUACUUGUUGAGGAUUAGAGAGCAGUUAGACAGGGGGCAGGCUGAGGGAUUUGCUUUGGACAGUUCGGGAGUACUACGGUACAGGGACCGACUGUGUGUGCCUGUGGAUCCGGAGAUUCGAGCGGAUAUUCUGAGAGAGGCUCAUUGUUCCCCUUAUACGGUUCACCCUGGGGGAACCAAGAUGUAUAAGGAUCUUAAGGCACAGUUUUGGUGGCCUGGAAUGAAGAGGGACAUUGGCAGAUUUGUGGCUCAGUGUUUGACUUGCCAACAGGUGAAGGCCGAGCAUCGGGUGCCUGCUGGCAAGCUUCAGAGUCUGCCAGUUCCCGAGUGGAACUGGGAGCACACCACGAUGGACUUCGUCGUUGGAUUGCCUAGAGCGCAGGGUGGCUACGACGCGAUUUGGGUGAUAGUGGACAGACUGACCAAGUCUGCUCACUUCCUACCGGUUCAGACUACCUGGUCCAGGGAGAGACUCGCGCAGCUAUACUUGGAUGAGAUCGUUAGGCUGCACGGCGUGCCAGUGUCGAUUGUAUCAGAUAGAGACCCGAGGUUCGUAUCCCAGUUUUGGAGGAGCCUUCAGACAGCCUUGGGUACACAGCUACAUUUCAGCACAGCGUUCCACCCACAGACAGAUGGUCAGUCAGAGCGGACCAUUCAGACUCUAGAGGACAUGCUGAGGGCAUGUGUUCUGGACUUUGGAGGAGGGUGGUAUCGACAUUUGAGACUGGUUGAGUUUGCGUACAACAACAGCUAUCAAGCGAGCAUUCAGAUGGCUCCGUUUGAGGCGUUGUAUGGACGCAAAUGUCGAUCCCCCCUAUUUUGGAGUGAUGUGGGUGAGCGGAGGACACUUGGACCAGAGAUUCUACUUGAGGCUGAAGAAAAGGUGAGAGUCGUUCGACGACACCUUUUGACAGCACAGAGCCGACAGAGGAGCUACGCCGAUACCAGGAGACGAGACUUGGAGUUUCAGGUUGGAGAUCAUGUUUUUCUCAAAGUCUCGCCGUCUAGAGGGAUACGCCGUUUUGGAGUACGUGGAAAGCUUAGUCCACGGUUUGUUGGCCCUUUCGAGGUAUUGGAGCGUAUCGGACCGGUGGCUUACAGGAUAGCUCUACCCCCGCGACUUGCUGGCAUCCACGAUGUUUUCCACGUCUCAGCAUUGAAGAGAUAUGUUUUCGAUCCCUCUCAUGUGAUUGACUUCACUCCACUAGAGAUUGGCGAGGAUCUGAGAUACGAGGAGCGACCAUUGCGGAUUCUUGCUCAGGAGACGAAAGAAUUGCGCAAUCGGGCCAUCCCGUAUGUGAAAGUGCAGUGGAGCAAUCACGAGGAGCGGGAGGCGACUUGGGAGCCUGAGACAGUGAUGAGGGAGUCCUACCCCGACUUGUUCGUUGCCCCGUCUUAAGGUAUGUUUUAAGUUUCGAGGACGAAACUUUUUAUAGUGGGGGAGGAUGUAGUAUCCUUAUUUCUUUAUCUUUUCUUUUCCUUUUUCUUUUUAUUUCUUUUGAGUUGGUAAGCAUGCUGGGGAUAAGGAUGCCACGUGCACCUUACCCCCAAGCAUGCUUAUCACCUUAAUACUUGUGCAUAGUUUAUAUAUAAUUCUUGAGCCUCUACGCAUAUAGUUCUUGAGCCGUACGUAGAGGAGGAGCUCAGGUGGUGUGGAGUUUCGUCGACGUCGCGCAGCGGUGCCGUUCGAGCGUGUGUUCGUCGUCGUAGCAUCGCGAGGGGGGCCGGGCGAGGGUCCGAUUCUGCCGUUUUUGUUGUCGCGCCGGAUUGUGAUUAGCGUUUGAGGUGGGUUACAUCGGCUUUACUCCUAAGUUCUUAUUGGUCGACAUGUAUAGAUCUUGAUUUCGGUCAUUAAUUUAGCUCAAAUUCAUGGACUAUAUGUAGAUUGUGAAAUCUGAAUUUUGGAGCAUAUUUUAUAAAUUAAGUAGAUCAUACAUGUUGGACUUGGAAAUUGAAUUAGGAGAAAACCUACGAUUUGGACCUGUCACCAGUUUUAACUACCUGAUUUAGCUCUAGGAGCCGUUAGAAAAUUGUACUGUCGCAGUUCUUCGAGACGAGUACUCCAGGUAGUUUAGAAUGUAUUUACACUCGUGCUCGUUCGCCGAGUGGAUUUUUACAGGGUCGUUCAGGUUGUUUCGGACUGUUGGGUGCCGUCAGAGUUGACGGUGGACCCGUAUCGCCUUUUUGGGCGUCAGAUUGUGCCGAGGGCACGUUACCUAUUGGUUGUUAGACCAGUUUGAGUCGAUUACUUGACUUUGGCUAGUUGGAGCCUGUUUGAGCUCGACAGAGAUACGCUGCAUACUCGGUUGGGUAGCGCCCACGAGUGCCACUCCGGAGUCAGGCUUGUGCUUUCGCGUUGGUGUCGCUCAUGCCAGUUGGACUUGCUCUCCACGGACCAGUUGGUGUGGAGGUAGCUGGAUAGUCGCAACGGGGCAGGGACGGGUGUGUUCACACUCCCAGGGACGGGUAUGCUUAUAGUCCCGAUUGGAUUGGGUCAGAUUGACAUUUCCUACAGUUGGUUAGUGUAGAGCAUGAUAGUGUAGUAAUUGAUAGCGGUAGAGCGUACUUCCUGCUUUUCCUACUAUUCUUGCUCCCUUCUGUAGACUUAGUGGGUGACCGAUGUUGUUUUGGGCGGUACCCACUGAGGACUACUUGUUUUUACAGUAGUUCUCACGCCCAGUUGUUACUCUUGUUUUGCAGAGCCAUAGGUUUCGGCUGCUGCGCCUUCCGCGGAUCAGGAUCGAGGCAAGGGCGUCGCGAGUUAGAGCCCUACCUGACGAGCAGAGUUAGAGGCACCCCUACUGCAGGUAGAUGUUUUGUUUCGAGUUUAUGUACAUAGUUUACCUAACUCGCCAGUGCGAGUAACUCUGUAUUUUGGAUUUGAGCUAUGUAUAUGAAACUCAAUUUGUUUAGCUUUUGUUUUCUCUAGCAGCUCUAUACUACUGUUUGUAGUAUUGUAUGUUUACAGGUACAGCUGUCGCUUCGUAUACAGGGAAAAUUCCUUUGUAUACGGCGGAUUUGUCGGCGUGCCCGGGGAACGUGUAAUCCGGGGCGUGACAGAUUAAGUUGGUAUCAGAGCUUUGCUAUAGGUCAUUGGGACCUAGGAAACCUAAGUUGGCAAACCUUAGGAAGCAAGACGCGAGAGGCGUGAUUUAAUUGCGGAAGUCGAUGAUUAUUUGUUCUAACUCCUCCUAAAGCGGAGUGAGUGACUGAAGGAGUUCCUGUUUUGGCCUGAGAAAUUAUGUUGGCUGCAGACGACAUAAUUUUGGAGGAAAACAGGGACCGCCUUCCAGACUUUCGUUGAUUGGGUCGAGAGUGUUGUAUUGUAUCUGACCCCGACUUGUUCUUUGCAGCUAUGUAUCGUCGCCGAGGUCGACCUUCGUUACGGGAGCGCGCCGAGUUGGCGCGAGAUCGUGCUGGACCUUCUGAGAGACCCGAGCAGAUGGAGCAGAGUGCUCGGCAGGAGCAGAGUGACAGACCGGAGGCGAGUGCACCCCCUGUUGUAGGGCCGAGUGCGCAACCUGAGGCUGGCGCACCCCCUGACCUAAGUGCACAGUUGGUUGCCCUGACUGAGGUGACGAGGCAGCAGGGGGAGUUGUUGCAGAGGUUGUGUGAGAGAAUAGCUCAGUCACCGAGUUCAGCACCGAGUAUACCAGAGCAUACUGUUCCCCCACCGACUACUCCAGUGUCAGCUCCAGCCGCAGCUAUGCCCCCACCAGUGGAGCUUCCUACAGCGCCAGUUGCGCCUGCUAGGGGACCCGUACAGUUGACAGAGGCCGAGCAGGAGCGAUGGACGGAGAGGUUGGCUCGUUUCCGCUGAUUUGAUCCACCUACUUUCGAUGGCAGCGGCACUGAGGCCUGGGUUGUUGAGGGAUGGGUCAGUGCUAUGGAGAGGUUAUUCGAGGAUCUGUACGUUCCAGAGGGGGAGCAGGUACCUUUGGGAGUACAUUGUUUGUCAGGUGAUGCACGUGAUUGGUGGCGGAGAGCGAGGCGAGACCAGGGACUAGUGGCGGCACAGCUGAGGUCGGAUGAGUUCUGUGGAAUGCUGUAUGGGAUGUAUUUUCCCAACAGCAUGAAACAGAAGAUUGAGGAGGAUUUAAAGAGGAUCCAGCAGGGCGAGCGGACAGUUCAGGAGUAUGUUCGGGAGUUUACUAGACUCUUGAACUGUGUUCCGUUCGUGGCCAGAGACGAGGCACAUAGGGUCUACUUGUUUGAGCAGGGUUUGACACCCGACCUAUUCAGGUUUGUUAGGGCGCAGAGGUCGAGGACUUUGGACGCGUCCAUUGAGCAGGCACUAUGGGAGGAGAGAGGAGAGGUGUCACUGCGAGAGAGGGCUCAGGGGCCGGGACAGAGUCAGGACAGGAAGCGCCCAGCUCCAAACGACGGAGGACAGUCGAGUAGCAGGCGUCCGCCGAGACCUCCACGAUCGCGUUCUCAGGGUCGUGGGUUCUCGGGACGUCAGCGAUCCAGAGACUUCCGUCAGCGAGGACAGCCAGAGAGGACGCCGCAGUGUGUGAUCUGCGGAGGACCACACUGGCCCAGACAGUGUGAGCAGAGGGAGGGCCGGUGCUACGGAUGUGGUCAGCCGGGACACAUGAGGGCAGCUUGUCCCAGAGCAGCAUCUCCAGCACCAUCAUCUGCUUCAGCUCCACCAGCACCUCAGCAGACUUAUAGAGCAGCACCGAGUUACCGCCAGGAUGAUAGAUCGUCCAUGCCGCGACAGAGUGAGCGUCGACAGCAGGCUCCGAGUGGUAGAGUCUAUGCAGCUCAGGUGGAGGACUCUACAGCAGCCGACCGAGUGGUGGCAGGUAUCACUUUGAUUUCUGGCAUUAGAGUUCACACUCUUUUUGAUACUGGUGCAACGCAUUCCUUUGUUAGCCGAGCAUUUGCAUUGUUGCAUGGUCUAGAGUUAGGGGCAUUGUCACAGGCACGAGAGGUGCAGAUCCCGGACCAUGUUUUACAGGUUGCGGAGUGUUGUUGGUCGUGUCCGGUGCAGUUGGACUCGUGGGUCAUGCCCGCAGACCUGUUGGUGUUAGGGCAGCUGCAGGACUUCGACGUCGUGCUCGGUAUGGAUUGGCUUGCGCGGUACUAUGCUACGAUCGACUGUGGAGCGAGGACGGUGACGUUCCGCGAGCCAGGUCAGGAAGAGUUCACAUUCAGAGGCUGCAGGAGUACGCUAUUUGCCACCUGGAUAUCUUCGGCGAGGGCUCGACAGAUGCUGAGUAGCGGGUGUAUCGCUUUCCUAGCGACUGUUGUGGAGGUACCUACGGCGGCGCCGGGACUUGAGGACAUCCCAGUAGUCCGCGAGUUUCCGGAUGUAUUUCCCCCUGAGUUGACGACGUUGCCGCCGGAGAGGGAGAUUGAGUUUGUGAUUGAUGUGGUUCCUGGAACUGCACCAAUCUCAAAGGUACCUUAUCGGAUGGCGCCGGCAGAGCUGAGAGAGCUAAAGGCACAGCUUCAGGAUUUGAUGGAUAAAGGGUUUGUGAGACCCAGUGUGUCGCCUUGGGGAGCGCCAGUGCUAUUUGUAAAGAAGAAGGAUGGUUCACUCAGGUUAUGUGUGGAUUACCGGGAGCUGAAUAAAGUGACCAUCAAGAAUAAGUAUCCACUGCCGCGCAUUGAUGAUUUAUUUGAUCAGUUGCAGGGAUCCUUCGUCUUCUCGAAGAUUGAUCUCUAGUCAGGUUACCACCAGCUGAGGGUGAGGGCCGAGGAUGUUCCCAAGACGGCUUUUCGGACUUGGUACGGGCAUUAUGAGUUUACAGUAAUGCCUUUUGGAUUGACAAAUACCCCUGCCGCAUUCAUGGAUUUGAGGAACAGAGUGUUCAAGCCGUUCUUGGAUAGAUUUGUGGUAGUCUUCAUCGACGACAUCCUGAUAUACUCCCGGAGUGAUGCUGAGCAUGAGGAGCACUUGAGGAUUGUGCUACAGCUUCUGCGAAAGAAGAAGCUGUAUGCCAAGUUGAAGAAGUGCGAGUUCUGGCUUCGGGAGGUUGCUUUCUUGGGCCACGUGAUUUCAGCCGAGGGCGUAGCAGUGGACCCGAAGAAGAUUGAGGCGAUUCGAGAUUGGCCUAGACCGACGACGGUGACUGAGGUACGGAGCUUCCUGGGACUGGCAGGAUAUUACCGUCGGUUUGUGGAAGGCUUUGCGAAACUUUCCACACCCCUCACACGCUUGACGCGAAAGGGGAUUCGUUUUGUUUGGAGCGAUGACUGUCAGAGGAGCUUUGACGAGUUGAGACUGAGGUUGACAUCAGCUCCUAUCCUUGCCCUUCCGGUGAUGGGGGAUGGAUUUGUGAUCUACAGUGAUGCAUCGCACAGUGGACUUGGUUGCGUGCUGAUGCAGCAUGGUAGGGUGAUUGUUUAUGCUUCACGGCAAUUAAAGGAUUUUGAGAAGAAUUACCCUACGCAUGACUUGGAGCUUGCCGCGGUGGUUUUUGCUUUGAAGCUCUGGCGGCAUUACCUGUACGGCGAGCACUGCGAGGUUUUCACCGAUCAUCAAAGUCUCAAGUAUCUGUUCACACAGAAGGAGCUGAAUCUGAGGCAGCGCCGGUGGUUGGAGUUACUGAAGGACUAUGACAUUAGUAUUCAGUAUCAUCCCGGCAGGGCGAAUGUGGUGGCAGAUGCGUUGAGCAGGAAGUCAGUGCAGAGCCUGAGUUUGAGGAUUACUGAGGAGAGACCCCUACUCGAGGAGUUACAGCGGCUGGGACUCGAGAUAGUACCCCCUGGGUUUACGGCGAGGCUGACGUCUCUAGUAUUACAGCCCACUCUGUUGGAUAGAAUCCGAGAGAAACAAAGUGGAGAUCCGUACUUGUUGAGGAUUAGAGAGCAGUUAGACAGGGGGCAGGCUGAGGGAUUUGCUUUGGACAGUUCGGGAGUACUACGGUACAGGGACCGACUGUGUGUGCCUGUGGAUCCGGAGAUUCGAGCGGAUAUUCUGAGAGAGGCUCAUUGUUCCCCUUAUACGGUUCACCCUGGGGGAACCAAGAUGUAUAAGGAUCUUAAGGCACAGUUUUGGUGGCCUGGAAUGAAGAGGGACAUUGGCAGAUUUGUGGCUCAGUGUUUGACUUGCCAACAGGUGAAGGCCGAGCAUCAGGUGCCUGCUGGCAAGCUUCAGAGUCUGCCAGUUCCCGAGUGGAAGUGGGAGCACACCACGAUGGACUUCGUCGUUGGAUUGCCUAGAGCGCAGGGUGGCUACGACGCGAUUUGGGUGAUAGUGGACAGACUGACCAAGUCUGCUCACUUCCUACCGGUUCAGACUACCUGGUCCAGGGAGAGACUCGCGCAGCUAUACUUGGAUGAGAUCGUUAGGCUGCACGGCGUGCUAGUGUCGAUUGUAUCAGAUAGAGACCCGAGGUUCGUAUCCCAGUUUUGGAGGAGCCUUCAGACAGCCUUGGGUACACAGCUACAUUUCAGCACAACAUUCCACCCACAGACAGAUGGUCAGUCAGAGCGGACCAUUCAGACUCUAGAGGACAUGCUGAGGGCAUGUGUCCUGGACUUUGGAGGAGGGUGGUAUCGACAUUUGAGACUUGUUGAGUUUGCGUACAACAACAGCUAUCAAGCGAGCAUUCAAAUGGCUCCGUUUGAGGCGUUGUAUGGACGCAAAUGUCGAUCCCCCCUAUUUUGGAGUGAUGUGGGUGAGCGGAGGACAUUUGGACCAGAGAUUCUACUUGAGGCUGAAGAAAAGGUGAGAGUCGUUCGACGACACCUUUUGACAGCACAGAGCCGACAGAGGAGCUACGCCGAUACCAGGAGACGAGACUUGGAGUUUCAGGUUGGAGAUCAUAUUUUUCUCAAAGUCUCGCCGUCUAGAGGGAUACGUCAUUUUGGAGUACGUGGAAAGCUUAGUCCACGGUUUGUUGGCCCUUUCGAGGUAUUGGAGAAUAUCGGACCGGUGGCUUACAGGAUAGCUCUAUCCCCGCGACUAGCUGGCAUUCAUGAUGUAUUCCACGUCUCGGCGCUAAGAAAGUAUGUUUUCGAUCCGUCUCAUGUGAUUGACUUCACCCCACUAGAGAUUGGUGAGGACUUGAGGUACGAGGAGCGACCGGUGCGAAUUCUUGCUCGUGAGACGAAAGAAUUGCACAACCGGAUCAUUCCGUACGUGAAAGUGCAGUGGAGCAAUCACGAGGAGCGGGAGGCGACUUGGGAGCCUGAGAAGGUGAUGAGGGAGUCUUACCGCGACCUGUUCGUUGCCCCGUGUUGAGGUAUGUGUUAAGUUUCGAGGACGAAACUUUUUUGUAGUAGGGGAGGAUGUAGUAUCCUUAAUUUUGUUUUUAUUUGAGUUGGUAGACUAGUAGUGGAUAAGGAUGCCACGUGUAACUCUAACCUCAUGCAUCCUUAUCAAUUGAGUUUUAACUGAGGUGUAUAGUUUUUUUAUUUUCAUUUUUACUUCUUCUCUCUUUCUCCAUUCGGCCGAAGUAAGGAGGAGUUCGGGUUGUGCCGCGGAGCUCGAUUUCGACGCCGACGAUGCGCCGCGAAGCCGUUCGAAGGUACGGUUGGGCUCGUAGUGUUGUGAGGAGGCUUGGCAAGGGUCUAUUUCCGCCAUUCUCGACGUCGCGCCGGAUUGGAUUUAGCUUUCGAGGUGGGUUACAUCGGCUUUACUCCUAAGUUAUUAUUGGUCGACAUGUAUAGAUCUUGAUUUCGGUCAUUAAUUUAGCUCAAAUUCAUGGACUAUAUGUAGAUUGUGAAAUCUGAAUUUUGGAGCAUAUUUUAUAAAUUAAGUAGAUCAUACAUAUUGGACUUGGAAAUUGAAUUAGGAGAAAACCUACGAUUUGGACCUGUCACCAGUUUUAACUACCUGAUUUAGCUCUAGGAGCCGUUAGAAAAUUGUACUGUCGCAGUUAUUCGAGACGAGUACUCCAGGUAGUUUAGAAUGUAUUUACACUCGUGCUCGUUCGCCGAGUGGAUUUUUACAGGGUCGUUCAGGUUGUUUCGGACUGUUGGGUGCCGUCAGAGUUGACGGUGGACCCGUAUCGCCUUUUUGGGCGUCAGAUUGUGCCGAGGGCACUUACCUGUUGGUUGUUAGACCAUUUUGAGUCGAUUACUUGACUUUGGCUAGUUGGAGCCUGUUUGAGCUCGACAGAGAUACGCUGCAUACUCGGUUGGGUAGCGCCCACGAGUGCCACUCCGGAGUCAGGCUUGUGCUUUCGCGUUGGUGUCGCUCAUGCCAGUUGGACUUGCUCUCCACGGACCAGUUGGUGUGGAGGUAGCUGGAUAGUCGCAACGGGGCAGGGACGGGUGUGUUCACAGUCCCAGGGACGGGUAUGUUUAUAGUCCCGAUUGGAUUGGGUCAGAUUGACAUUUUCUACAGUUGGUUAGUGUAGAGCAUGAUAGUGUAGUGAUUGAUAGCGGUAGAGCGUACUUCCUGCUUUUCCUACUAUUCUUGCUCCCUUCUGUAGACUUAGUGGGUGACCGAUGUUGUUUUGGGCGGUACCCACUGAGGACUACUUGUUUUUACAGUAGUUCUCACGCCCAGUUGUUACUCUUGUUUUGCAGAGCCACAGGUUUCGGCUGCUGCGCCUUCUGCGGAUCAGGAUCGAGGCAAGAGCGUCGCGAGUUAGAGCCCUACCUGACGAGCAGAGUUAGAGGCACCCCUACUGCAGGUAGAUGUUUUGUUUCGAGUUUAUGUAUAUAGUUUACCUAACUCGCCAGUGCGAGUAACUCUGUAUUUUGGAUUUGAGCUAUAUAUAUGAAACUCAAUUUGUUUAGCUUUUGUUUUCUCUAGCAGCUCUAUACUACUGUUUGUAGUAUUGUAUGUUUUACAGGUACAGCUGUCGCUUCGUAUACAGGGAAAAUUCCUUUGUAUACGGCGGAUUUGUCGGCGUGCCCGGGGAACGUGUAAUCCGGGGCGUGACAUCGUAAGUUUCUUCUCCUCCGCUUAUUGAUAUGCUUAAACUCAGCGGGUGGCCCCGCCUGACCUGGGGUCGCGGUCCGAUGCGGCCCGCCCUUUUCUUUUACAUCGUAAAGGGGGAGGCGCGCGCUCGGGGUGGGGGUCCUCUCGGGGGCCGUUCGCCGCUGGGGCCGGAGGCACGGCGCUCGGCUCGCGGUCGCNCUCCCUUCUGUAGACUUAGUGGGUGACCGAUGUUGUUUUGGGCGGUACCCACUGAGGACUACUUGUUUUUACAGUAGUUCUCACGCUCAGUUGUUACCUAUGUUUUUGCAGAGCCACAGGUGCCGGCUGCUGCACCGUCUGCGGACCUGGAUCGAGGCAAGGGCGUCGCGAGUUAGAGCCCCUACCCGACGUGCUGAGCUAGAGGUGCCCUACUGCAGGUAGAUGUUUUGUUUAGAGUUUAUGUACAUAGUUGACUUAACUCGCCAGUGCGAGUAGCUCUGUAUUUUGGAUCUGAACUAUGUAUAUAAAACUCUGUUUUAUUUAGCUUCAGUUUUCUCUAGCAGCUCUCUACUACUGUUCGUAGUAGUGUUUGAUUUACAGGUACAGCUAUCGCUUCGUAUACAGGAAAAAUUUCUUUGUAUACGGCGGAUCUGUCGGCGUGCCCGGGGAACCUGUAAUCCGGGGCGUGACAGAUUAAGUUGGUAUCAGAGCUUUGCUAUAGGUCGUUGGGACCUAGGAAACCUAAGUUGGCAAACCUUAGGAAGCAAGACGCGAGAGGCGUGAUUUAAUUGCGGAAGUCGAUGAUUAUUUGUUCUAACUCCUCCUAAAGCGGAGUGAGUGACUGAAGGAGUUCCUGUUUUGGCCUGAGAAAUUAUGUUGGCUGCAGACGACAUAAUUUUGGAGGAAAACAGGGACCGCCUUCCAGACUUUCGUUGAUUGGGUCGAGAGUGUUGUAUUGUAUCUGACCCCGACUUGUUCUUUGCAGCUAUGUAUCGUCGCCGAGGUCGACCUUCGUUACGGGAGCGCGCCGAGUUGGCGCGAGAUCGUGCUGGACCUUCUGAGAGACCCGAGCAGAUGGAGCAGAGUGCUCGGCAGGAGCAGAGUGACAGACCGGAGGCGAGUGCACCCCCUGUUGUAGGGCCGAGUGCGCGACCUGAGGCUGGCGCACCCCCUGACCUAAGUGCACAGUUGGCUGCCCUGACUGAGGUGACGAGGCAGCAGGGGGAGUUGUUGCAGAGGUUGUGUGAGAGAAUAGCUCAGUCACCGAGUUCAGCACCGAGUAUACCAGAGCAUACUGUUCCCCCACCGACUACUCCAGUGUCAGCUCCAGCCGCAGCUAUGCCCCCACCAGUGGAGCUUCCUACAGCGCCAGUUGCGCCUGCUAGGGGACCCGUACAGUUGACAGAGGCCGAGCAGGAGCGAUGGACGGAGAGGUUGGCUCGUUUCCGCCGAUUUGAUCCACCUACUUUCGAUGGCAGCGGCACUGAGGCCUGGGUUGUUGAGGGAUGGGUCAGUGCUAUGGAGAGGUUAUUCGAGGAUCUGUACGUUCCAGAGGGGGAGCAGGUACCUUUGGGAGUACAUUGUUUGUCAGGUGAUGCACGUGAUUGGUGGCGGAGAGCGAGGCGAGACCAGGGACUAGUGGCGGCACAGCUGAGGUGGGAUGAGUUCUGUGGAAUACUGUAUGGGAUGUAUUUUCCCAACAGCAUGAAACAGAAGAUUGAGGAGGAUUUAAAGAGGAUCCAGCAGGGCGAGCGGACAGUUCAGGAGUAUGUUCGGGAGUUUACUAGACUCCUGAACUGUGUUCCGUUCGUGGCCAGGGACGAGGCUCACAGGGUCUACUUAUUCGAGCAGGGUUUGAGGCCAGAUCUCUUCAGGUUUGUCAGGGCGCAGAGGUCGAGGACCCUGGAUGCGUCUAUUGAGCAGGCGUUGUGGGAGGAGCGAGGAGAGGUGUCCCUCAGAGAGCGGGUGCAGGCGCCGGGGCCGAGUCAGGAUAGGAAGCGCCCCUUUCCAGAUGACGGAGGGCAGUCGAGCAGCAGACGUCCGCCGAGACCUCCACGAUCACGUUCUCAGGGUCGUGGGUCUUCGGGGCGUCAGCGUUCCAGGGGAUCCCGUCAGCAGGGGCAGACUCAGAGGACGCCACAGUGUGUGAUCUGUGGGGGACCACACUGGCCUCGGCAGUGCGAGCAUAGAGAGGGCAGGUGCUACGGAUGUGGUCAGCCGGGACAUAUGAGGGCAGCGUGUCCCCGAGCAGCAUCUCCAGCACCGUCAUCAGCUUCGGCACCACCAGCACCACAGCAGUCUUACGGAGCAGCACCGAGCUACCGUCAGGAGGAUAGAUCGUCUGUGCCGCGGUCGAGUGAGCGGCGACAGCAGGCUCCGAGUGGCAGGGUCUACGCAGCUCAGGUGGAGGACUCAUCAGCAGCCGACCGAGUGGUGGCAGGUAUCACUUUGAUCUCUGGCAUUAGAGUUCGCACUCUUUUUGAUACCGGUGCAUCGCAUUCCUUUGUUAGCCGAGCAUUUGCAUUGUUGCAUGGUCUAGAGUUAGGAGCGUUGUCUCAGGCACGAGAGGUGCAGAUCCCCGACCAUGUCUUGCAGGUUACAGAGUGUUGUUGGUCCUGUCCGGUGCAGUUAGACUCUUGGAUCAUGCCCGCAGACCUGUUGGUGUUAGGGCAGCUGCAGGACUUCGACGUCGUGCUCGGUAUGGAUUGGCUUGCGCGAUACUAUGCUACGAUCGACUGUGGAGCGAGGACGGUGACGUUCCGCGAGCCAGGUCAGGAAGAGUUCACAUUCAGAGGCUGCAGGAGUACGCUAUUUGCCACCUGGAUAUCUUCGGCGAGGGCUCGACAGAUGCUGAGUAGCGGGUGUAUCGCUUUCCUAGCGACUGUUGUGGAGGUACCUACGGCGGCGCCGGGACUUGAGGACAUCCCAGUAGUCCGCGAGUUUCCGGAUGUAUUUUCCCCUGAAUUGACGACGUUGCCGCCGGAGAGGGAGAUUGAGUUUGUGAUUGAUGUGGUUCCUGGAACUGCACCAAUCUCAAAGGUACCUUAUCGGAUGGCGCCGGCAGAGCUGAGAGAGCUAAAGGCACAGCUUCAGGAUUUGAUGGAUAAAGGGUUUGUGAGACCCAGUGUGUCGCCCUGGGGAGCGCCAGUGCUAUUUGUAAAGAAGAAGGAUGGUUCACUCAGGUUAUGUGUGGAUUACCGGGAGCUGAAUAAAGUGACCAUCAAGAAUAAGUAUCCACUGCCGCGUAUUGAUGAUUUAUUUGAUCAGUUGCAGGGAUCCUUCGUCUUCUCAAAGAUUGAUCUCCAGUCAGGUUACCACCAGCUGAGGGUGAGGGCCGAGGAUGUUCCCAAGACGGCUUUUCGGACUCGGUACGGGCAUUAUGAGUUCACGGUGAUGCCUUUUGGAUUGACGAAUGCCCCUGCCGCAUUCAUGGAUUUGAUGAACAGAGUGUUCAAGCCGUUCUUGGAUAGGUUUGUGGUAGUCUUCAUCGACGAUAUUCUGAUUUACUCCCGGAGUGAUGCUGAGCAUGAGGAGCACUUGAGGAUUGUGCUACAACUUCUGCGUGAGAAGAAGUUGUAUGCCAAGUUAAAGAAGUGCGAGUUCUGGCUACUGGAGGUUGCUUUCUUGGGUCACGUGAUUUCAGCUGAGGGCGUUGCAGUGGACCCGAAGAAGAUUGAGGCGAUUCGGGAUUGGCCGAGACCGACGACGGUGACUGAGGUACGCAGUUUCCUGGGGCUGGCAGGAUACUACCGUCGGUUUGUGGAAGGCUUUGCAAAGCUUUCCACACCCCUCACGCGUCUGACGCGGAAGGGGAUUCGCUUUGUUUGGAGUGACGAUUGUCAGAGGAGCUUUGACGAGUUGAGACAGAGACUGACAUCAGCUCCUAUCCUUGCCCUUCCAGAGAUGGGUGAAGGUUUUGUGAUAUACAGUGAUGCAUCGCACAGUGGGCUUGGUUGUGUGCUGAUGCAGCAUGGUAGGGUGAUUGCUUAUGCUUCACGGCAAUUAAAGGAUUAUGAGAAGAAUUACCCUACGCAUGACUUGGAGCUUGCCGCAGUGAUUUUUGCAUUGAAGCUCUGGCGGCAUUACUUGUAUGGCGAGCACUGCGAGAUUUUUACUGAUCAUAAAAGUCUCAAGUAUCUGUUCACCCAAAAGGAGUUGAAUUUGAGACAGCGCCGGUUGUUGGAGUUGCUGAAGGAUUAUGACAUCAGUAUCCAGUAUCAUCCCGGCAAGGCGAAUGUGGUGGCAGAUGCGUUGAGCAGGAAGGCAGUGCAGAGCUUGAGUAUGUUGAUCACUCGGCAGGGACCGUUACUCGAGGAGCUGAGACGGCUGGGACUCGAGGUAGUGUCCCCUGGAUUUACUGCGAGAUUGAUGUCUAUGAUCUUGCAGCCCACUCUGUUGGAUAGAAUCCGAGAGAAACAGAGUGGAGAUCCGUAUUUGUUGAGGAUUAGAGAGCAGUUAGAUAGGGGGCAGGCUGAGGGAUUUGCUUUGGACAGUUCGGGAGUACUACGGUACAGGGACCGACUGUGUGUGCCUGUGGAUCCGGAGAUUCGAGCGGAUAUUCUGAGAGAGGCUCAUUGUUCCCCUUAUACGGUUCACCCUGGGGGAACCAAGAUGUAUAAGGAUCUUAAGGCACAGUUUUGGUGGCCUGGAAUGAAGAGGGACAUUGGCAGAUUUGUGGCUCAGUGUUUGACUUGCCAACAGGUGAAGGCCGAGCAUCGGGUGCCUGCUGGCAAGCUUCAGAGUCUGCCAGUUCCCGAGUGGAAGUGGGAGCACACCACGAUGGACUUCGUCGUUGGAUUGCCUAGAGCGCAGGGUGGCUACGACGCGAUUUGGGUGAUAGUGGACAGACUGACCAAGUCUGCUCACUUCCUACCGGUUCAGACUACCUGGUCCAGGGAGAGACUCGCGCAGCUAUACUUGGAUGAGAUCGUUAGGCUGCACGGCGUGCCAGUGUCGAUUGUAUCAGAUAGAGACCCGAGGUUCGUAUCCCAGUUUUGGAGGAGCCUUCAGACAGCCUUGGGUACACAGCUACAUUUCAGCACAGCAUUCCACCCACAGACAGAUGGU
Molecule: long non-coding RNA, 16366 nt
Filed under: Ananas comosus (pineapple)
Lineage: Eukaryota; Viridiplantae; Streptophyta; Magnoliopsida; Poales; Bromeliaceae
Description: long non-coding RNA (ACOM_LNC037915)
Source: RNAcentral